CCUACGGGGGGCUGCAGUCGAGGAUCUUCGGCAAUGGGGGCAACCCUGACCGAGCGACGCCGCGUGGGCGACGAAGGCCUUCGGGUUGUAAAGCCCUGUCGAGGGGGAGGAAGCCGGCAACGGGUGACCUAUCCCUGGAGGAAGCACGGGCUAAGUUCGUGCCAGCAGCCGCGGUAAGACGAACCGUGCGAACGUUGUUCGGAAUCACUGGGCUUAAAGGGCGCGUAGGCGGCCUGCCGCGUCCGGGGUGAAAGCCCCCCGCUCAACGGGGGAAC
Molecule: ribosomal RNA, 275 nt
Filed under: uncultured bacterium
Lineage: Bacteria
Description: partial 16S ribosomal RNA
Rfam family: Bacterial small subunit ribosomal RNA
Source: RNAcentral